UCCUCCGUGGCGCAAUUGGCUAGCGCGUUCGACUGUUAAUCUACAUUGUAGAAAAUAAAUCGAGAGGUUGGUGGUUCGAGCCCACCCGGGGGAG
Delitschia confertaspora ATCC 74209 is the source of this 94-nucleotide non-coding RNA. NCBI's taxonomy places the organism in Eukaryota, Fungi, Ascomycota, Dothideomycetes, Pleosporales, Delitschiaceae. The record is from the annotation of a GenBank genome assembly.